RNAcentral lists this ribosomal RNA (429 nucleotides) under Bacteroidota bacterium. RNAcentral describes it as "Bacteroidetes bacterium partial 16S ribosomal RNA". It matches the Rfam family "Bacterial small subunit ribosomal RNA", at positions 355 to 776 of the family's 1533-position model. The record is from RNAcentral. Lineage: Bacteria; Pseudomonadati; Bacteroidota.
UAGGGAAUCUUCGGCAAUGGGGGGAACCCUGACCGAGCAACGCCGCGUGAGUGAAGAAGGUUUUCGGAUCGUAAAGCUCUGUUGUUAAGGAAGAACGAGUAUGAGAAUGGAAAGUUCAUACUGUGACGGUACUUAACCAGAAAGGGACGGCUAACUACGUGCUAGCAGCCGCGGUAAUACGUAGGUCCCGAGCGUUGUCCGGAUUUAUUGGGCGUAAAGCGAGCGCAGGCGGUUAGAUAAGUCUGAAGUUAAAGGCAGUGGCUCAACCAUUGUAGGCUAUGGAAACUGUUUAACUUGAGUGCAGAAGGGGAGAGUGGAAUUCCAUGUGUAGCGGUGAAAUGCGUAGAUAUAUGGAGGAACACCGGUGGCGAAAGCGGCUCUCUGGUCUGUAACUGACGCUGAGGCUCGAAAGCGUGGGGAGUGAACAGG